GUUGAACGCUGGCGGCGUGCCUAAUACAUGCAAGUCGAGCGAACAGACGAGGAGCUUUCCUCCCUGACUUUCGCGGCGGACGGGUGUGUAACACGUGGAUAACCUACCUAUAAGACUGGGAUUACUUCGGGAAAACGGUGCUAAUACCGGCUAAUCUAUUCAACCGCAUGGUUCCAUAGUGAAAGACGGCUUUGCUUUCACUUAUCGCUGGAUCCGCGCCGCAUUAGCUAGUUGGUCAGGUAACGGCUUACCAAGGCAACGAUGCGUAGCCGACCUGAGAGGAUGAUCGGCCACACUGGAACUGAGACACGGUCCAGACUCCUACGGGAGGCAGCAGUAGGGAAUCUUCCGCAAUGGGCGAAAGCCUGACGGAGCAACGCCGCGUGAGUGAUGAAGGUCUUCGGAUCGUAAAGCACUGUUAUUAGGGAAGAACAAAGGUGAAAGUAACUAUGCACGUCUUGACGGUACCUAAACAGAAAGCCACGGCUAACUACGUG
RNAcentral lists this ribosomal RNA (497 nucleotides) under uncultured bacterium. RNAcentral's name for it is "partial 16S ribosomal RNA". It matches the Rfam family "Bacterial small subunit ribosomal RNA", at positions 28 to 507 of the family's 1533-position model. The record is from RNAcentral.